GUUCUAUCUUUAGGUGGAGUUAAGUCUGUUAAUCUGUUUGUUGUUAUGAAUGGACUAAGUACAACAACAUGGAGCCGGAUGCUGUUGAUUUCUUUGGGGAAUGUAUGAAUAGUCCCCGAAAUGGUCGUACUCCGCUUGCAAAUGAGAUAUAUGAGCAAAUGGUUGCAGAGAAGGAAAGAGAGCUAGAAGAAGGAGAAGCACAAAAGUCACCCUCCAAGAUUGUUGCUGAUAGUCUCAGCCAGAUCAGCCGCUCAUCCACCUUCCUUCCAAACAUUGGUGUCCCUACAACGUCCAAGACUGGUCGGUCCACAUCGCUAGCUGCACAAGCACGCAUGCAAGCUCAGUUUGAGGAAAAACUCCAAGCUGAAAGAGAGGAAGCUACUAGGAAGCAGGAAGAGUUGCAAGCACAACUACAAGCUCAACAGGCCGCACUUGAAGAAAACCAAAGUUUGCUGCGCCAGACCCAAGAGGAAGUGAAGGGGAUGCAUACCAAGUUUGAAGAGACCAAUGCAC
Molecule: unclassified non-coding RNA, 513 nt
Filed under: Zea mays
Lineage: Eukaryota; Viridiplantae; Streptophyta; Magnoliopsida; Poales; Poaceae
Description: misc RNA Zm00001eb412330
Source: RNAcentral